UACGUAGGGUGCAGGCGUUAAUCGGAAUUACUGGGCGUAAAGCGUGCGCAGGCGGUCUUUUAAGUCAGAUGUGAAAUCCCCGGGCUUAACCUGGGAACUGCGUUUGAAACUGGAAGGCUAGAGUGUGGCAGAGGGGGGUGGAAUUCCACGUGUAGCAGUGAAAUGCGUAGAUAUGCGGAGGAACACCGAUGGCGAAGGCAAUCCCCUGGACCUGUACUGACGCUCAUGCACGAAAGCGUGGGGAGCAAACAGG
RNAcentral lists this ribosomal RNA (253 nucleotides) under uncultured bacterium. RNAcentral describes it as "partial 16S ribosomal RNA". It matches the Rfam family "Bacterial small subunit ribosomal RNA", at positions 524 to 776 of the family's 1533-position model. The record is from RNAcentral.